Molecule: long non-coding RNA, 377 nt
Filed under: Apteryx owenii (little spotted kiwi)
Lineage: Eukaryota; Metazoa; Chordata; Aves; Apterygiformes; Apterygidae
Description: lncRNA (ENSAOWG00000003666.1)
Source: RNAcentral
AGGGUGGGAGCUGCUGGGGGGCGGCUGAGGGGCCUAGGGCGUCGUCAGCGGGAGGCGGGCUGGCGCAAGGAAGCGGCCGUUUAACGGUCGCCCGAAGGGGCGGCUCGCUCAGGGGUGUGAAGAGGCGCUGUGCGGCCCGGAGCGGGGCYGUUGGCGGCCGGCGAUGCCCUGGUGGAGCUGAGUGAGGGGCUUGGCCGGUGCCUGCCGGAGCUGAAAUGUGAAAUAACGGUCUGCGGAGGGGAAUUAGGUUUCUGCCUUUUUAAUUUUGCUAGGUAUCAAAUAAACUGUUUGUAUAGAUGCAGUCUGGGGAAGUGGAAACCUCCAUUUCAGUGGCAGAAAUCUCUUAAAACCACAUUGAAAAGGUUUUGAAAGAUCCC